ACUGGUGAGUAACACGUGGAUAACGUACCCCGAUGUCCGGGACAGCCUGUAGAAAUAGAGGGUAAUACCGGAUAGAUCACUGUUUACGUGAGGUAGACAGCGGGAAAGGAGCUUCGGCUCCGCGUCGGGAACGGUCUGCGGCCCAUCAGCUAGACGGCGGGGUAAGUGCCCGCCGUGGCGAGGACGGGUAUCCGGCCUGAGAGGGCGGACGGACACAUUGGGACUGAGAUACGGCCCAGACUCCUACGGGAGGCAGCAGGUAAGAAUAUUCCGCAAUGGGGGGAACCCUGACGGAGCGACGCCGCGUGAACGAAGAAGGCCGGAAGGUUGUAAAGUUCUUUUCUGUUCGAGGAAUAAGUGUAGGAGGAAAUGCCUGCAUGGUGACGGUAGGGCAGGAAUAAGCACCGGCUAAUGGCGUGCCAGCAGCCGCGGUAACACGUAAGGUGCGAGCGUUGUUCGGAAUUAUUGGGCGUAAAGGGCAUGCAGGCGGGUCGCCAAGCUUGGUAAGAAAUACCGGGGCUCAACUCCGGAGCUAUAUUGAGAACUGGCGAGCUAGAGUUGCCGAAGGGUAUCCGGAAUUCCGCGUGAAGGGGUGAAAUCUGUAGAUAUGCGGAAGAACACCGAUGGCGAAGGCAGGAUACCGGCGGACGACUGACGCUGAGGUGCGAAGGUGCGGGGAGCAAACAGGAUUAGAUACCCUGGUUAGUCCGCACAGUCAAC
This 720-nucleotide ribosomal RNA is filed under the name uncultured bacterium. RNAcentral's name for it is "bacterial SSU rRNA". It matches the Rfam family "Bacterial small subunit ribosomal RNA", at positions 102 to 807 of the family's 1533-position model. The record is from RNAcentral.